CCUGGCUCACGAUGAACGCUAGCUACAGGCUUAACACAUGCAAGUCGAGGGGCAGCAUGGUCUUAGCUUGCUAAGGCCGAUGGCGACCGGCGCACGGGUGAGUAACACGUAUCCAACCUGCCGUCUACUCUUGGACAGCCUUCUGAAAGGAAGAUUAAUACAAGAUGGCAUCAUGAGUCCGCAUGUUCACAUGAUUAAAGGUAUUCCGGUAGACGAUGGGGAUGCGUUCCAUUAGAUAGUAGGCGGGGUAACGGCCCACCUAGUCUUCGAUGGAUAGGGGUUCUGAGAGGAAGGUCCCCCACAUUGGAACUGAGACACGGUCCAAACUCCUACGGGAGGCAGCAGUGAGGAAUAUUGGUCAAUGGGCGAGAGCCUGAACCAGCCAAGUAGCGUGAAGGAUGACUGCCCUAUGGGUUGUAAACUUCUUUUAUAAAGGAAUAAAGUCGGGUAUGGAUACCCGUUUGCAUGUACUUUAUGAAUAAGGAUCGGCUAACUCCGUGCCAGCAGCCGCGGUAAUACGGAGGAUCCGAGCGUUAUCCGGAUUUAUUGGGUUUAAAGGGAGUGUAGAUGGAUGUUUAAGUCAGUUGUGAAAGUUUGCGGCUCAACCGUAAAAUUGCAGUUGAUACUGGAUAUCUUGAGUGCAGUUGAGGCAGGCGGAAUUCGUGGUGUAGCGGUGAAAUGCUUAGAUAUCACGAAGAACUCCGAUUGCGAAGGCAGCCUGCUAAGCUGCAACUGACAUUGAGGCUCGAAAGUGUGGGUAUCAAACAGGAUUAGAUACCCUGGUAGUCCACACGGUAAACGAUGAAUACUCGCUGUUUGCGAUAUACAGCAAGCGGCCAAGCGAAAGCGUUAAGUAUUCCACCUGGGGAGUACGCCGGCAACGGUGAAACUCAAAGGAAUUGACGGGGGCCCGCACAAGCGGAGGAACAUGUGGUUUAAUUCGAUGAUACGCGAGGAACCUUACCCGGGCUUAAAUUGCAGAUGAAUUACGGUGAAAGCCGUAAGCCGCAAGGCAUCUGUGAAGGUGCUGCAUGGUUGUCGUCAGCUCGUGCCGUGAGGUGUCGGCUUAAGUGCCAUAACGAGCGCAACCCUUGUUGUCAGUUACUAACAGGUUCCGCUGAGGACUCUGACAAGACUGCCAUCGUAAGAUGUGAGGAAGGUGGGGAUGACGUCAAAUCAGCACGGCCCUUACGUCCGGGGCUACACACGUGUUACAAUGGGGGGUACAGAGGGCCGCUACCACGCGAGUGGAUGCCAAUCCCAAAAACCUCUCUCAGUUCGGACUGGAGUCUGCAACCCGACUCCACGAAGCUGGAUUCGCUAGUAAUCGCGCAUCAGCCACGGCGCGGUGAAUACGUUCCCGGGCCUUGUACACAC
RNAcentral lists this ribosomal RNA (1377 nucleotides) under uncultured bacterium. Its description in RNAcentral is "bacterial SSU rRNA". It matches the Rfam family "Bacterial small subunit ribosomal RNA", at positions 18 to 1390 of the family's 1533-position model. The record is from RNAcentral.